AAAGCUGAAAAAGGUGGUGUAAAGGUGGUGUAAAAGACUAAAAGGGUAGUGUUAAUGUAUUGUGGUUACUUUUACUAAUCUUGCACUAGAGUUGUCAACUGGGCCGGGCCGGCCCAGCCCGAACCGGCCCAAGCCCGGUAUGGGCCGGCCCAGGACCAGCCCACUUGAUCGAAUGGGUUAGUUGGGCCGGGCCAGCCCUUUGAAAUGGGCUCCAUUUGGGCUAUUUAUCAAACCCAAGCCCGGCCCAGGACCAGGAUCGUUAGAAGCCCAGCCCAAGCCCGGCCCAGGACCAGGACCAGGCCCAGCCCAGGACCGGUCCAAGCCCAAUAAUUUAGGUUAAAUAUUAUUUAUAUAUUUAUUCCUCUUAUUCAAUAUUCAAUUCCCUACACAAUUUAGCAAUACUAAAAUAUUAAACCCAAUAAAAUAUUAAACCUAUUUAAAGCCCAAGGACCAUUUGUCAAAUAUAUAAAUAAGCUCAAAAUAAUUUAAAGAUAAUAAUUACAAAUUUAAAACAAUCUAAAAUUGAAAACUCAUUUGUACCCAACUGAAGCUCAUUCGAAGUACAACCCAGUAUAGGCCCAUCAUACUCGACCCAGCAUAAGCCCAUGUGAGGCCCGGCCCAUUUGAGGCCCAAGCCCACUAGACAUGUGGUCCUGAAUCGGGCUGGGUUCGAUAUUUUAUAAAAAGCCCGGCCCAGGACCGACCCAUUUCAAAUGUGGGCUUGGGCUGGGCUGGGCCUAACUCCUUACGGGCUCAACCGGGCCUGGGCCGGGCCGGGCUGGCCCAGCCCAGUUGACAACUCUAUCUUGCACUAACUAUUUGGCAUUAUUUUAUUAGGUGAAAAUUCAGAAAAUAAAUAUAUAAAUAAAAUGGAAAAUAAAUAAAUUGGAAAUAAAUAAAUAAAUAAGUAAAUAAACUGGAAAUAAAUAAACUGGAAAAUAAAUAAAC
RNAcentral lists this long non-coding RNA (948 nucleotides) under Salvia miltiorrhiza (redroot sage). Its description in RNAcentral is "long non-coding RNA (SMIL_LNC010428)". Lineage: Eukaryota; Viridiplantae; Streptophyta; Magnoliopsida; Lamiales; Lamiaceae. The record is from RNAcentral.